AACGAACGCUGGCGGCAUGCCUAACACAUGCAAGUCGAACGAGACCUUCGGGUCUAGUGGCGCACGGGUGCGUAACGCGUGGGAACCUGCCCUUAGGUUCGGAAUAACUCCCCGAAAGGGGUGCUAAUACCGGAUAAUGUCUUCGGACCAAAGAUUUAUCGCCUUUGGAUGGGCCCGCGUUGGAUUAGCUAGUUGGUAGGGUAAAAGCCUACCAAGGCGACGAUCCAUAGCUGGUCUGAGAGGAUGAUCAGUCACACUGGGACUGAGACACGGCCCAGACUCCUACGGGAAGCAGCAGUGGGGAAUAUUGGACAAUGGGCGAAAGCCUGAUCCAGCAAUGCCGCGUGAGUGAUGAAGGCCUUAGGGUUGUAAAGCUCUUUUACCCGGGAUGAUAAUGACAGUACCGGGAGAAUAAGCUCCGGCUAACUCCGUG
Molecule: ribosomal RNA, 433 nt
Filed under: uncultured bacterium
Lineage: Bacteria
Description: partial 16S ribosomal RNA
Rfam family: Bacterial small subunit ribosomal RNA
Source: RNAcentral